CGGGCUCGUAGUAUAGUCCGGAUAGUACAUGGGCCUCCGGAGCCUAUGACCUGGGUUCAAAUCCCAGCGAGCCCGU
This 76-nucleotide transfer RNA is filed under the name uncultured archaeon. RNAcentral's name for it is "tRNA-Arg(ccg)". It matches the Rfam family "tRNA". From Rfam's summary of the family: Transfer RNA (tRNA) molecules are approximately 80 nucleotides in length. The record is from RNAcentral.